Molecule: ribosomal RNA, 428 nt
Filed under: uncultured bacterium
Lineage: Bacteria
Description: bacterial SSU rRNA
Rfam family: Bacterial small subunit ribosomal RNA
Source: RNAcentral
GUAGGGAAUAUUGCACAAUGGAGGAAACUCUGAUGCAGCGACGCCGCGUGCGUGAUGAAGGCCUUCGGGUCGUAAAGCUCUGUCGCAGGGGAAUAACACAAUGAAGGUACCCUGUAAGAAAGGAUCGGCUAACUUCGUGCCAGCAGCCGCGGUAAGACGAGGGAUCCUAGCGUUGUUCGGAAUCAUUGGGCGUAAAGCGGAUGUAGGUGGCUAUGUAAGUCAGAUGUGAAAGCCUGGGGCUCAACCCCAGAAGUGCAUUUGAUACUGCGUAGCUUGAGUGUCGGAGAGGUUACUAGAAUUGUGGGUGUAGUGGUGAAAUACGUAGAUAUCAACAGGAAUACCGGAGGCGAAGGCGGGUAACUGGCCGAACACUGACACUGAGAUCCGAAAGCGUGGGGAUCAAACAGGAUUAGAAACCCCAGUAGUCC